RNAcentral lists this ribosomal RNA (460 nucleotides) under uncultured bacterium. RNAcentral describes it as "partial 16S ribosomal RNA". It matches the Rfam family "Bacterial small subunit ribosomal RNA", at positions 338 to 795 of the family's 1533-position model. The record is from RNAcentral.
CCUACGGGUGGCUGCAGUGAGGAAUAUUGGUCAAUGGACGCGAGCCUGAACCAGCCAAGUAGCGUGAAGGAUGACUGCCCUACGGGUUGUAAACUUCUUUUAUAAAGGAAUACAGUGAGGCACGUGUCCCUUUUUGUAUGUAUUUUAUGAAUAAGGAUCGGCUAACUCCGGGCCAGCAGCCGCGGUAAUACGGUGUUUCCGAGCGUUAUCCGGUGUUAUUGGGUUUAAAGGGAGCGUAGAUGGGUUGUUAAGUCAGUUGUGAAUGUUUGCGGCGCAACCGUAAAAUUGCAAUUGAUACUGGCAGCCUGGAGUACAGUUGAGGUAGGCGGAAUUCGUGGUGUAGCGGUGAAAUGCUUAGAUAUCACGAAGAACUCCGAUUGCGAAGGCAGCCUACUAAACUGCAACUGACAUUGAUGCUCGAAAGUGUGGGUAUCAAACAGGAUUAGAUACCCGUGUAGUC